GCCGGGCAUGGUGGUGCACACCUGUAAUCCCAGCUGCACUGGAGGCUGAGGCAGGAGGAUCUCAAUUUCAGGGACGGCCUCAGCAAGGUAGUGAGACCCUGUCUCAA
This 107-nucleotide small RNA is filed under the name Marmota monax (woodchuck). Lineage: Eukaryota; Metazoa; Chordata; Mammalia; Rodentia; Sciuridae. The record is from RNAcentral.